This 1713-nucleotide long non-coding RNA is filed under the name Ananas comosus (pineapple). RNAcentral's name for it is "long non-coding RNA (ACOM_LNC006110)". The record is from RNAcentral. Lineage: Eukaryota; Viridiplantae; Streptophyta; Magnoliopsida; Poales; Bromeliaceae.
CACGCUUUGCGGCGGGUAAAUAAUAUUUUAUCAAAUUUAAAUAUUUUAAUUUAUAUAAGUUUUAAUAAAUAAUUUGUGGUAUUUUAGCAAAUUUAAAAAUUUUAAUUUAUACCCAAUCCAAACGGGCCUAAGUGUAUCAAAUAUGAUACAGGGGAUUAUUUUCUGCCUAUAUAAAAAUAUGUACUAUAUUAUAUAUGUGUAAUAAUAAAUUAUCUAUAGAUGAACAUAUCAAAUCUUGGUGGCAUUGUGUAUUAAAAAUUAAUAGAAAAAUAUAAAGAAAAAAAAACCAAUUGGUUAACUUACACUAAGUUUUUAAUUGAUUAUCUUAUUCUCUAAUCAAAUGAAUAUAUUAAUUUGAUCAGAGAAAUCUACUUUUUCCAUGAAGGAUAAUGAUGUGAAUUGGCUAAAAAUAUAAAAAACUGGGACGCUAUGAAUGCAUGACAAAAAAAAAAGAAAAGGAGAAUAAGGUAAUCUAAUUGGGAAAGCAAGAAAAGAAACAAUAUUAUUGACCAAAAACCUAACAAAUUUUUCACUCUACUCUAGCCAAUAUUUAUAGUGUGCUUAUAAUUGUAAAUUUUUAUAACUGUUAUCUAUGAAAAAGAAAAGACAAUAUAGAAAAGAGUAAAUGAUGAAUUUAAUUUUCUUAUUUAAUUUCUAUUUGAUGAACUGCCAAACUAAAAAAAAUAUUAUUGAUAACUUUAUUUAAAGAUUCCACCCUUAGAAAAAAAAACGGUCAAAUUAAAUGUGCAUUAAUUUAUAAAUUUUUAUUUGUUUAAAGUAGAGAAUGAAGUUAAUUACUAUCGAUUACUAACAAUGGAAGCCAAAAAAAUUAUUAUAUAUAUGACAAUAUUGGAUUAAUUAUAUAUAUUAAUUAUAUAUUAAAGUAUAGUUAUUAUUGUGAUUUAUGAAGCUAAUUACUUUCGGUUACUAAUCAUGAAAGCCAAAAAGAUUAUUGACAAUAUUAGGUUAAUUAUAUGUAUUAAUUAUAUAUUAAACUAUAGUUAUUAUUGUGAUUAUAUAGUUAUAUCAAUUAUUAAUUAUUAAAUUUCUCAUUUUGUUCUUUCAAAGGGGGAUGAAAGAUAACUUGCCAUGUGGCAAGAAUUAUUCUGGCUUCAUAUAGUUUUAUAGAUAUUUAGGAUUAAUUUCAUAUAGAUUUUUGUAAAUAUUGUGAAUUGUAAAUAUAUCACUAUAAAGUUCAACUUUUAUAUAUUGUUUUUAUAAAAAUUCUAAUGUUUUUAAAUAUAUUUCUCUGGUUUGUUACCGUUAAAACAAUGUCUAUUUUAUAGGUGAAAUGACCUGUUUGAUAUUACAAAUAUAUCCCUCAAAAUAUCUCAACUAUUAAUUAAAAAGAAAUAAAAAGAUUAAGACUAAGAUUAAGUAUUACCUAUGGUUACCUAAUUUUUUUUGACGGAUCAUAACGGUAGAAACAUAUUUAAAAUACUUUUGUAAGAAUAACAUAUGAAAGCUGAACUUUACAGGGAUAUAUUUGUAAUUUACUAUCUGUAUAAAAUUAAGCCUAGUAUUUAUUGCCCGGCUUAACACUCUAUUCAUAAUAAGAUAGGUCAGAUCAAAAGGAGUGAAUUUUGAAGAAUCUUUUAGCGAAUCAAAAUAGAUCAUCACCUCUCACUUUAAUUUCUUGACGGAUUGUGGCGGAUUGAGAAUGAAUAACUUUUUCUUUAUUUGUUGCUCCGAGUUGUAGUCUUAUUCGAAGCG